AUCCAGCUGACGAGUUCCAAACAGGACGAAACGCGCGUCCGUGAU
This 45-nucleotide non-coding RNA is filed under the name Schistosoma margrebowiei. The record is from RNAcentral. Lineage: Eukaryota; Metazoa; Platyhelminthes; Trematoda; Strigeidida; Schistosomatidae.